Molecule: non-coding RNA, 85 nt
Organism: Podarcis lilfordi (Lilford's wall lizard)
Lineage: Eukaryota; Metazoa; Chordata; Lepidosauria; Squamata; Lacertidae
Source: the annotation of a GenBank genome assembly
GCAACAGCCUGGAUAGCUCAGUUGGUUAGACUAGAGUGUGGUGCUGAUAACGCCAAGGUUGCAGGUUCAAUUCCUGUAUGUUGCA